GGACAGGAGGAGAGCGGGGGAAGAGAAAAUUAGCAUGUUUGAGGAGAUCAGUUUGAGCAAGAUCAAGACAGACCCCAAAAACCCCUCCUGAGAUGGACUCCAACCUGAGAAUUGGCUUCAUCGGGGCAGGCAACACGGCCUACGGGAUAGCCAAGGGAGUCCUGCAGCCUGGAGUUGGGGGAGUCGGCCACCCAUUUCUAUGCAGAGCUGGUCAAUAGCUGUGACCUGGUGUUCGUGGCGGUCAAACCACAACUCGCCGCGACCGUUCUCAGCGAGAUCACAGACCACGUCACCUGGAAACACA
This is a long non-coding RNA of Oncorhynchus tshawytscha (Chinook salmon), 304 nucleotides long. The record is from Ensembl. Lineage: Eukaryota; Metazoa; Chordata; Actinopteri; Salmoniformes; Salmonidae.